GAAACCGAAACCCCCUUUGCGAGAUUCGCUGCAUCUAUACCUGAUUUGCGUUCAAAAAUGCCUGCUUAAUUAUUUCAUAGUAAGAGCAAACAUGCCUUAAGAAAAGGAGUAGGUUUGAAACUUUAGUAACCAUAAAAAGUACGCCAGGUGGAUGCCUUUCUACUCCAGGAAGCCGCAGCCUACGGCCUGAAGGAGGAAGAGGACGCGGUCAGUUUGAAAUAGCUGAAUCGAUGACAUCCUGAAAGCAGCAAUACAAUUAAGCUGGGCCAGUUCUUCAGAUGAUCAGAGGGACUUCGCCAUCAUCACAUCCCUCAUUGCUGCAGUCAGACUGAAACAGGACGGUGAUGCAUGGCAGUCCAUGCCCGAGAUACGGAUGAUGAAGAGACCACAGCAACAUCUGGUCCAGAUGAGGACACAAGGGCAUGUGGACUGAUGCAGGGUCUCGUUCAGUUCACUACAGGAGAACAGGAGUGGCUAAACUCAGUCUAGAACUGCUGCUGUCUUGCAGAGUUUAGUUGAAGUUGACUCUAAACUCUGCAGGACACCAGCUGUCCAGAACUGAGUUUGGGCACCCCUGCAUUACAGCAUUUCCAAGAUGCUGCUGCAUGUGGACUUCUUUACCCUCACCACACACACCAAUCUGCAGAUAUUUCAGAUCAAACAAAACAUAAAAAACAUUCAAAAAACAAUGUCAUUUUACUGUACAAUGUGUCAUUUGAUUUCUGUAGAGCUAGUAAUAAAAUUAUCCUACCUCU
RNAcentral lists this long non-coding RNA (755 nucleotides) under Danio rerio (zebrafish). Its description in RNAcentral is "lncRNA si:rp71-62i8.2 (ENSDARG00000100491.2)". Lineage: Eukaryota; Metazoa; Chordata; Actinopteri; Cypriniformes; Danionidae. The record is from RNAcentral.